AGAGUUUGAUCCUGGCUCAGAGCGAACGUUAGCGGCAGGCCUAACACAUGCAAGUCGAGCGAGAAUAGGGCUUCGGCUCUUAGUAAAGCGGCGGACGGGUGCGUAACACGUAGAUAAUCUGCCCUCUAGCGGGGAACAACAGUCCGAAAGGAUUGCUAAUGCCGCAUGUCACUGCGGGGACUCCGGUCCCCGUUGGAAAAGGGGCCCGCAAGGGUCUCACUAGAGGAUGAGUCUGCGGCCCAUCAGCUUGUUGGCGGGGUAAUGGCCCACCAAGGCUAAGACGGGUAGCUGGUCUGAGAGGAUAACCAGCCACACUGGGACUGAGACACGGCCCAGACUCCUACGGGAGGCAGCAGUGGGGAAUAUUGGACAAUGGGCGCAAGCCUGAUCCAGCCAUGCCGCGUGAGUGAUGAAGGUCUUCGGAUCGUAAAGCUCUGUGGGAAGGGAAGAAAAAAGUAUACCUCAUACGUAUGCUCUUGACGGUACCCUCUUAGCAAGCCCGGCUAACUCU
This 511-nucleotide ribosomal RNA is filed under the name uncultured bacterium. RNAcentral's name for it is "bacterial SSU rRNA". It matches the Rfam family "Bacterial small subunit ribosomal RNA", at positions 8 to 504 of the family's 1533-position model. The record is from RNAcentral.